This 472-nucleotide ribosomal RNA is filed under the name uncultured Ochrobactrum sp. RNAcentral's name for it is "bacterial SSU rRNA". It matches the Rfam family "Bacterial small subunit ribosomal RNA", at positions 910 to 1382 of the family's 1533-position model. Lineage: Bacteria; Pseudomonadati; Pseudomonadota; Alphaproteobacteria; Hyphomicrobiales; Brucellaceae. The record is from RNAcentral.
UUGACGGGGCCCGCACAAGCGGUGGAGCAUGUGGUUUAAUUCGAAGCAACGCGCAGAACCUUACCAGCCCUUGACAUACCGGUCGCGGACACAGAGAUGUGUCUUUCAGUUCGGCUGGACCGGAUACAGGUGCUGCAUGGCUGUCGUCAGCUCGUGCCGUGAGAUGUUGGGUUAAGUCCCGCAACGAGCGCAACCCUCGCCCUUAGUUGCCAGCAUUUAGUUGGGCACUCUAAGGGGACUGCCGGUGAUAAGCCGAGAGGAAGGUGGGGAUGACGUCAAGUCCUCAUGGCCCUUACGGGCUGGGCUACACACGUGCUACAAUGGUGGUGACAGUGGGCAGCGAGCACGCGAGUGUGAGCUAAUCUCCAAAAGCCAUCUCAGUUCGGAUUGCACUCUGCAACUCGAGUGCAUGAAGUUGGAAUCGCUAGUAAUCGCGGAUCAGCAUGCCACGGUGAAUACGUUCCCGGGCCUU